CAGUAGCCACGGGAAUACGAAGGGGGCUAGCGUUGUUCGGAUUUACUGGGCGUAAAGCGCACGUAGGCGGACUUUUAAGUCAGGGGUGAGAUCCCGGGGCUCAACCCCGGAACUGCCUUUGAUACUGGAAGUCUUGAGUAUGGUAGAGGUGAGUGGAAUUCCGAGUGUAGAGGUGAAAUUCGUAGAUAUUCGGAGGAACACCAGUGGCGAAGGCGGCUCACUGGACCAUUACUGACGCUGAGGUGCGAAAGCGUGGGGAGCAAACAGGAUUAGAUACCCGCGUAGUCCCUGUCUCUUAUAC
RNAcentral lists this ribosomal RNA (301 nucleotides) under uncultured bacterium. RNAcentral's name for it is "partial 16S ribosomal RNA". It matches the Rfam family "Bacterial small subunit ribosomal RNA", at positions 509 to 807 of the family's 1533-position model. The record is from RNAcentral.